RNAcentral lists this ribosomal RNA (459 nucleotides) under uncultured bacterium. Its description in RNAcentral is "partial 16S ribosomal RNA". It matches the Rfam family "Bacterial small subunit ribosomal RNA", at positions 338 to 795 of the family's 1533-position model. The record is from RNAcentral.
CCUACGGGAGGCAGCAGUGAGGAAUAUUGGUCAAUGGGAGAGAUCCUGAACCAGCCAAGCCGCGUGAGGGAAGACGGCCCUAUGGGUUGUAAACCUCUUUUGUCGGAGAACAAAACCCGGGACGUGUCCCGGACUGCGUGUAUCCGAAGAAAAAGCAUCGGCUAACUCCGUGCCAGCAGCCGCGGUAAUACGGGGGAUGCGAGCGUUAUCCGGAUUUCUUGGGUUUAAAGGGUGCGUAGGCGGUCCGUUAAGUCAGCGGUAAAAUUGCGGGGCUCAACCCCGUCGAGCCGUUGAAACUGGCAGACUUGAGUUGGCGAGAGGUACGCGGAAUGCGCGGUGUAGCGGUGAAAUGCAUAGAUAUCGCGAAGAACUCCGAUGGCGAAGGCAGCGUACCGGAGCCAGACUGACGCUGAGGCACGAAAGCGUGGGGAGCGAACAGGAUUAGAUACCCGGGUAGUC